GUUGACAUCUGUUUAAAGGUCCAAAUUCCUUUCAAAUAGUCUUAUUCGUGACCCACUCCUUUUAACACGCCUUAUUCGGUAGAGAUGGGUUUUUGUUAACGUCUAGUGUAAACUAGUACUUAAUUGAUUGUUUCAAUGGUACAAAUAUAGAAGUACUAUUCAACGCUGUAUACGUCUGUGUUGUGUGGUAAAUGGCUCCUACUAGAUACAUAAAAUUGAGAAAAUGAAAAACAUACUUAUAUUCGAGUAAAUAAGCUACUUAAUUUAUUAGGUUCUUUUUGGUCAUAUAGCUCUUUAGCUCUAUAUGUUAUAAAUUCUUAGCUUUCGGCUUGAGCGAUCUAGAUGAAGUUAAAUCAAGAAAAAAGGCUUUGGGCGCAUGAAAUUG
RNAcentral lists this long non-coding RNA (385 nucleotides) under Mytilus galloprovincialis (Mediterranean mussel). Lineage: Eukaryota; Metazoa; Mollusca; Bivalvia; Mytilida; Mytilidae. The record is from RNAcentral.